Molecule: ribosomal RNA, 404 nt
Filed under: Fusobacteriota bacterium
Lineage: Bacteria; Fusobacteriati; Fusobacteriota
Description: Fusobacteria bacterium partial 16S ribosomal RNA
Rfam family: Bacterial small subunit ribosomal RNA
Source: RNAcentral
UGGGGAAUAUUGCACAAUGGUGGGAACUCUGAUGCAGCGACGCCGCGUGAGUGAUGAAGGAAUUCGUUUCGUAAAACUCUGUUCUAUGGGAAGAAAAGGACUGUACCAUAGGAGAAAGCUCCGGCUAAAUACGUGCCAGCAGCCGCGGUAAUACGUAUGGAGCGAGCGUUGUCCGGAAUUAUUGGGCGUAAAGGGUGCGCAGGCGGCUUUACAAGUUGGAUGUGAAAUAUUGUGGCUCAACCACAAACGUGCAUCCAAAACUGCAAAGCUUGAGUUAAGGAGAGGUAAGUGGAAUUCCUGGUGUAGCGGUGGAAUGCGUAGAUAUCAGGAGGAAUACCGGUGGCGAAGGCGACAUACUGGACUUAAACUGACGCUCAGGCACGAAAGCGUGGGGAGCAAACAGG